RNAcentral lists this non-coding RNA (246 nucleotides) under Bacteroides stercoris. RNAcentral describes it as "Bacterial small subunit ribosomal RNA". It matches the Rfam family "Bacterial small subunit ribosomal RNA", at positions 1147 to 1392 of the family's 1533-position model. The record is from Rfam by way of RNAcentral. Lineage: Bacteria; Pseudomonadati; Bacteroidota; Bacteroidia; Bacteroidales; Bacteroidaceae.
GACUGCCGUCGUAAGAUGUGAGGAAGGUGGGGAUGACGUCAAAUCAGCACGGCCCUUACGUCCGGGGCUACACACGUGUUACAAUGGGGGGUACAGAAGGCAGCUACACGGCGACGUGGUGCUAAUCCCAAAAGCCUCUCUCAGUUCGGAUUGGAGUCUGCAACCCGACUCCAUGAAGCUGGAUUCGCUAGUAAUCGCGCAUCAGCCACGGCGCGGUGAAUACGUUCCCGGGCCUUGUACACACCG